This 1082-nucleotide long non-coding RNA is filed under the name Elaeis guineensis (African oil palm). Its description in RNAcentral is "long non-coding RNA (EGUI_LNC073764)". Lineage: Eukaryota; Viridiplantae; Streptophyta; Magnoliopsida; Arecales; Arecaceae. The record is from RNAcentral.
GGGUGUGCGGGGGUGUGUUGGAGAGACAGAGACAGAGAGAGAGAAGCAGAAUUCGAGUACUAAAGUAUAAGCUUGCCCAUUAGGCAAUGGCCAACAAAACUAUAAUCAGCUAGCAUUUUAACAGCACAAUCCAUAUAUAUUCAACAUCGAUAUACAUUGGUAAAAUGAAAAUUAGCAAGAAAAAAAGAAACAUAGAUCAGUCAUAAUCUGCCAAAGAUCACUUGCAAUCGAAUAGUUCCAACAGCAACCUUUCUCAACCUCCAAAGUGGCAUUCAUAUGAAAAUGAAGGUGAAAAAAAAAUCCUUUUUCUGUCAUUCCAAUAUGAAAAAUAAACAAGCAGAAUGGAAAGAAUAAUCAAUUAAAGAAACCAAAUAGAAUAAAAGAUGAACAUUCUUGACUGCAAACUUUAUUCUUACAAUCAAUUCCUUAAAGAGCUCAUCUCCACUUAAAAAAUUGUAAGAAAAUUCAUUAAAAAGAUAAUUUGGGAGGUACCUGAGCGACAGCAUUGAGAUUAAGACGACCAAGCUUGAAAUCCAUGCCUGAAAUCCUUCUCCUUGUCUACAAUCAAGCCCUAUAAAGAUUUCCGCAUCCACUGAGUUCCCUUCUAGCCGUUACCAGAACUUGGAAAACCGUGCCCUAAUGUUAAUCUCUUCCCAAUGAUAUCAACCCUGAUUUUAAUCUCGAGGCUCAAAAUCAAAGGAAGAACCCUAGCAAGAUCGAGGCCAGAAGCAAUGCACGAAAUAUAACGACGGAUCCGCGUGGAUGCAAAAAGAGAGAGAGGAAACCGAUCAACAAUCCCCGUCAGCCGGAAACUCGCGGAAAAAAUAAUAAUAAUAAUAAUCAAAAUACGAAGAGAUCGCUUGCGGAGGUCUCACCUGCGCACCCUCAAAGCGGCGUCGAUGUCUUGCGGAGGGAGGAGGCCGGGAUCGACUCGUGACUCGAGAUCAAGACUUGUAAGGGCCCGUUGGGGUCCCCGGGACCCACACCGAUGUAGUCCUACGCGAUUGGUCGCGUCAAUCUUUGCCGGAUGUUGAGUAUAUCUCGAUCAAAACGAAAAUAUUUUUAGCCAUAUAAAGCAGCAU